GAGAUGGCAGAGAUGGGACUGGAUGAACAGAGAUGACAGCUAGUUGAUGAAUCAGCCUCAGAUAUUCACAGAAAACCAGGACGACAAACCUCUGUGUGGAACUGGAAUGAAUCUCUGGUGAACACUAGGGUUCAUCCUCCGGGGACCAUAAAGACCUUCACACUAACGGUGAAAGCGGCGCAGUGACCUUACAGCAAUCAUGAAUCUCAGAGUCUGUAUAGCAAAGAUGGACAUAAUCCCUCUGACUCUGCAUUGGAUGAGAGGGUAGAGCGCUAGGUUUGUGCAAGCUUGGUUAUCAAACUGCAUCCAGAAACCAUCCAGACCUCCAACUGCACAAACAUGUCCACGGUUCAGUGACUCCAGUCAGCUAUCGGCCAGUCGAAGCAUCCACUCCUCUAACUCUAAACGUGGAAGAUUCUCCUGAAGUGACCUAAAGAAGCUGAAGUCAAGCUCAGCAAACAGCAGCUGCCGGAGCUGGGGUCAAAUCAAAGACGCCACCAGUAGCACCAGCAGAGACGCAACCAGGACAACCAGACUUUGCAGUAUUUCCUGUGUUUAUCUCAAGUUCACUGUAGAGAAAAUAUCUUUCUAAAUUAUGUCUCAAAAAUCAGUUUGAUGCAGAGGAGAACACUGCUAAUAGACAGCGCACUAUUGUGCAUCAAAUCCUCGAGAGGAAAACCUCCACACAGCACAGCCACACACCUGUGGGGGCGGGACCUGCCCGGUCAUCCAAUGAAAUGUGGCCUCCACCUCUGGUCUGCGAUGAUCCAACGCUGUGUGGUUUGUGACUGAUUUGAUUUAUUGUCUAAUCAUAUAUGACUAGUAGCUAUUUACUCGCAUUAAUGCUGAACCACUGUAACUCAAACAUGUUUAAGCUAAAAGAAAAGAAAAGAAAGAAGAUCAAAUAAAUCUGUGAUUCUGGAAGGUUUAAAUAUUAGGAGGUAAAAGUAAAAGACUUCAGCCCGGUUAUCUCUGCAGCAGGCUGUGAACGGUUUAUUUCUGUGGUUCAGAUAUUUUAAUGUGUUUACUCACUUUUAGAGCCUCAAGUGGCCAUGAGAGGAACUGCAGUUUUUAGCGCUUCCAUGUCGGCUUCAUGUUUGAGCUGCUCGCUCGCUCUGUGUCUCUGUGCUGGGCUCUUUCGUUCUUGUUAUCCUGAUGAAUAAACUGCGGUUUUAA
Long non-coding RNA from Astatotilapia calliptera (eastern happy), 1176 nucleotides. The record is from Ensembl. NCBI's taxonomy places the organism in Eukaryota, Metazoa, Chordata, Actinopteri, Cichliformes, Cichlidae.